This 653-nucleotide ribosomal RNA is filed under the name uncultured bacterium. RNAcentral describes it as "bacterial SSU rRNA". It matches the Rfam family "Bacterial small subunit ribosomal RNA", at positions 159 to 800 of the family's 1533-position model. The record is from RNAcentral.
GAUGCUAAUACCGAAUAAAACUUAGUGUCGCAUGACACAAAGUUAAAAGGCGCUUCGGCGUCACCUAGCGAUGGAUCCGCGGUGCAUUAGUUAGUUGGUGGGGUAAAGGCCUACCAAGACAAUGAUGCAUAGCCGAGUUGAGAGACUGAUCGGCCACAUUGGGACUGAGACACGGCCCAAACUCCUACGGGAGGCUGCAGUAGGGAAUCUUCCACAAUGGGCGAAAGCCUGAUGGAGCAACGCCGCGUGUGUGAUGAAGGCUUUCGGGUCGUAAAGCACUGUUGUAUGGGAAGAACAGCUAGAAUAGGAAAUGAUUUUAGUUUGACGGUACCAUACCAGAAAGGGACGGCUAAAUACGUGCCAGCAGCCGCGGUAAUACGUAUGUCCCGAGCGUUAUCCGGAUUUAUUGGGCGUAAAGCGAGCGCAGACGGUUUAUUAAGUCUGAUGUGAAAGCCCGGAGCUCAACUCCGGAAUGGCAUUGGAAACUGGUUAACUUGAGUGCAGUAGAGGUAAGUGGAACUCCAUGUGUAGCGGUGGAAUGCGUAGAUAUAUGGAAGAACACCAGUGGCGAAGGCGGCUUACUGGACUGCAACUGACGUUGAGGCUCGAAAGUGUGGGUAGCAAACAGGAUUAGAUACCCUGGUAGUCCACAC